GAUGAACGCUGGCGGCGUGCCUAAUACAUGCAAGUCGAGCGAACAGACGAGGAGCUUGCUCCUCUGACGUUAGCGGCGGACGGGUGAGUAACACGUGGAUAACCUACCUAUAAGACUGGGAUAACUUCGGGAAACCGGAGCUAAUACCGGAUAAUAUAUUGAACCGCAUGGUUCAAUAGUGAAAGACGGUUUUGCUGUCACUUAUAGAUGGAUCCGCGCCGCAUUAGCUAGUUGGUAAGGUAACGGCUUACCAAGGCAACGAUGCGUAGCCGACCUGAGAGGGUGACCGGCCACACUGGAACUGAGAAACGGUCCAGACUCCUAAGGGAGGCAGCAGUAGGGAAUCUUCCACAAUGGGCGAAAACCUGACGGAGCAACGCCGAGUGAGUGAUGAAGGUCUUCGGAUCGUAAAACUCUGUUAUUAGGGAAGAACAAAUGUGUAAGUAACUAUGCACGUCUUGACGGUACCUAAUCAGAAAGCCACGGCUAACUACGUG
RNAcentral lists this ribosomal RNA (497 nucleotides) under uncultured bacterium. RNAcentral describes it as "partial 16S ribosomal RNA". It matches the Rfam family "Bacterial small subunit ribosomal RNA", at positions 28 to 507 of the family's 1533-position model. The record is from RNAcentral.